Molecule: ribosomal RNA, 253 nt
Filed under: uncultured bacterium
Lineage: Bacteria
Description: partial 16S ribosomal RNA
Rfam family: Bacterial small subunit ribosomal RNA
Source: RNAcentral
UACGAAGGAUCCAAGCGUUGUCCGGAUUUACUGGGUUUAAAGGGUGCGUAGGCGGAUGUCUAAGUCAGUGGUGAAAGCCGGCAGCUUAACUGUCGAAUUGCCAUUGAAACUGGGCGUCUCGAGUGCGGUUGAGGUGACUGGAAUGUAACAUGUAGCGGUGAAAUGCAUAGAUAUGUUACAGAACACCGAUUGCGAAGGCAGGUCACUAAACCGUAACUGACGCUGAGGCACGAAAGCGUGGGGAUCAAACAGG